CGGCAGACGGGUGAGUAACGCGUGGGAACAUACCUUUUGGUUCGGAACAACACAGGGAAACUUGUGCUAAUACCGGAUAAGCCCUUACGGGGAAAGAUUUAUCGCCGAAAGAUUGGCCCGCGUCUGAUUAGCUAGUUGGUGAGGUAACGGCUCACCAAGGCGACGAUCAGUAGCUGGUCUGAGAGGAUGAUCAGCCACAUUGGGACUGAGGCACGGCCCAA
This 221-nucleotide ribosomal RNA is filed under the name uncultured bacterium. Its description in RNAcentral is "partial 16S ribosomal RNA". It matches the Rfam family "Bacterial small subunit ribosomal RNA", at positions 96 to 334 of the family's 1533-position model. The record is from RNAcentral.